Molecule: long non-coding RNA, 730 nt
Organism: Nicotiana tabacum (common tobacco)
Lineage: Eukaryota; Viridiplantae; Streptophyta; Magnoliopsida; Solanales; Solanaceae
Source: RefSeq, a predicted model, not a curated record
UGCAAAAUCAAGCGCACAAAAAAGAUAACAAAUUAACAUAGCAAAACUGCUGUAGAGAUCAGUUUCUCUCUUCUCUGGAGAAGUUUAAAACUCCUCUAAUUUCAUCAAGAUGACCAGAUAGAAGAACCAGAGUUUGUUCUACUAUUUUCAUUGAUAUGAACGGCAGGAGAUUUGUACAAAUGAUGAAUAUAUCGAAGAACCAACAAUGCCAAUGACAGAUUGCGAAAGAAGACGUCUCAAUUGGUGGUUGUAGGCAUGAAAUCUUAAGGGAUUGCACAUGGCUGGUUUGUGACAUACAAAGAUGAAGUAGUGGCUAUAAAAGGCUCACCAAGAUAUAUUGGGUGGUCUAUGGAGCAUCUCAAUGACAGAGACGCAGAAACAUAAAAAUUAAAGUCGCCCUUCUCAUUGUUGGGUUAGAGGUUGAUUUGGAGCUUUUAAUUUGGACAUAAGAUUGAUUAACACAAUCUUAAGGGAAUAAAUUCUCAACAAAUGGUGAUCGUCAUGCCAAAAGUUACAUACAUUAGAAGUGUAGAACAAGGUUGGUGUUGGAGGUUAUAUGGCUCGGCUCGGUCAACCAGUGCCUAUGAUAUACGGACACUUUGAAUUGGAGAUCUGCAGUUUUGAAUGGAUGAAUAAUAUUUUCAUAGCCGCUUUACAAAAAUUUGAGAUGUACUAAAGUUUCUGAAGUACAUUGUUGUUGCUGAGUUUUUAAUAUAUAAAAUUAUGUCUU